This is a long non-coding RNA of Homalodisca vitripennis (glassy-winged sharpshooter), 327 nucleotides long. RefSeq lists it as uncharacterized. The transcript has 2 exons. Lineage: Eukaryota; Metazoa; Arthropoda; Insecta; Hemiptera; Cicadellidae. The record is from RefSeq and is a predicted model, not a curated record.
UGCGAAGCUUGCCACAUGAGAUAUAGAACAAUAGUGGGUCUACGAUAAAAGGUGCCUCGGUCGUGUUUGCUCUCACUCUUCUCAGAGCUCUACACUAAAGACAUGUUCAGAAUCAUUUUGAUUGCAAUUUUUGCAACCAUCUUGGGGCUCAUGACUCUGGGAUCCCCGCUGGAUGACUGGCCUGAAGGAGUGGAUGACUACGGUUACGGUGACAACUACACUGAUCCUGACUAUCCUACUACACCAUCUCCGGGUCAAUCGUAAAAAUUAUGUAAUACGUACAGUGUAAUUAUAUUUAUUGUAAAUAAAUUAGUAAACAGUUAAAAA